Molecule: long non-coding RNA, 1926 nt
Organism: Onychostoma macrolepis
Lineage: Eukaryota; Metazoa; Chordata; Actinopteri; Cypriniformes; Cyprinidae
Exons: 3
Source: RefSeq, a predicted model, not a curated record
UGAUCCACGUGCAGGCAAACAUCCCGCCCACAGCGCUCAGUGUGAAGUAGAGAGUGAGUCCAUUGAAGCGCUGAUGCGGACGCAAAACUUUGCCGUUGCAUGUCACAUAUAGUUCUACUCACUUUUACGGGUGUUGUGCGUCUAUGGAAAUAGAGAAUGAAUGGAAUUGACUGCUUAUCAAAGAGAAGAUCGAUUUGUGCCAUGUCAAAACUGGUGUGCCACUGACAAACAUCUUCCCAGUGAAGAACUACCAUUAUGAGAUUGAAACCGAGGAUGACAUUGAUGUUCUGAUACUAAGGCACUUCAACAGAUUGUUCCGAUCGCUGAUGAUAGAUUGGAUGACAGUGGAAUGUACUGAAAAAAGUAAAAUCAAGAAAAAAUGUGAAUAAUGUAGUAACUGACCAAAUUCUAUUUAAUCUUGAAUUUAUUUGUCUUUCUCAGCAUGCAUGUAUUCAGCCUUAUAGUGAGGGUAUUAGGGAAUCUGGAGCAAUAUGUACAACCAGAAUAACAGAAAGUGUAAUAGCCAACUUUAUUAAAAGUCAUAUUGAAAUUGAUUCUCUUCUUUUUUGCAUUUCACCUUUGCUGUAGCUAUUUUCCCAUUCUAGUAUUCUAAUAAACCUGGCUUCCUUCACUAUGUAUAUUGUUAGUUCUGUUACAAAUUGCUUAUAUUCCUCUGAUGUAAGUAGGGCUGGACGAUACGGCCAAAAUUGAUAUCACAAUAUAUUUCUUAAUUUCGGUCGAUAAGAUAUAAUUCCGAUAUCGAUAUGAACACUAUUAAAAAUAGCCAAGAAUGCCCACAACAGAUGUCUGUACCUACAAACUUAUGAAAAAUGAAUUUGCCAAGUCUAUGAACUCCUCCUAUAAAACUAUAUAUAGGGGGGAAAAACAGCACAAAAAAAUUAAUGUUCACCUUUUAUUUGUAUUUAGCCUUCAUACAAACAAGAAAUGUGAAAUCACUGUCAAAUAAACAUCUCAGACUCACCUUAUUAAUAUUAAUAUCUUUAACUUCAAACUAUAGGCUAACAUACACUAUCAGUCAAAGGUUUUUGAACAGUAAGAUUUUAGUUUUUAAAGAAUUCUCUUCUGCUCACCAAGCCUGCAUUUAUUUGAUCCAAAAUACAGCAAAAACAGUAACAUUUUGAAAUAUUUACCAUUUAAAAUAACUGUUUUCUAUUUGAAAAUAUUUUAAAAUGCAAGUUAUUCCUGUGAUUUCAAAGCUGAAUUUUUAGCAUCAUUUCUCCAGUCACAUGAUCCUUCAGAAAUCAUUCUAAUAUUCUGAUUUGCUGCUCAAAAAACAUUUAUUAUUAUGUUGAAAACAGCGGAGUAGAAUCUGAUUCUCUGCCAGUAGGAGGUGCUUUGAGAGCCAGAACUAGCGGUUUCCCCAGUAACGGCUGUAAUCUAAGCAGCUCCGCUCUGAACCCUACUUUAUCCGAUAAAAUGAAAAUGCCAUCAAAACUAUUCUGAUGACAGUAUGUUCCCUUCAGAGAUACAUUCAUAUUAGCACUGCACUUUUCAAAAAGCGGGUGAUUUAUGUAUAUUCACCGAAGUCAAACGCCACAAAUAAAUCAAUGUAUGGGAAACACUGGUAAUGUAUAUCGAAAUAUCGGAAAUGUGUUUAAAAAUCAUAUCACCGUUAUUGAAAAAAAUUAUAUCGCGAUACAUAUUGAUAUUGAAUUAUUGUCCAGCCCUAGAUGUAAGAUGCAUUGGAUACAAGUGCUUGCUAAAUGUAUAGAUGUAAAAUGCAAUUUAUUGAUGAGGUUCAGUGUCAGAAAAAUAGGCUCUCACAUGGGAAAAAAAGUAUAAAAACUGUUAAAAUGCAAGGAAACUUAUGUCUUCUCUUGUGAUUUUCUGUAUUCUUCUAUUUAUUAACAGCUAAAUCACUGUGGCACCUACAAUUUAGGGAUAUACCGAUCAUGAUUUUUUAUG